UGGGGAAUUUUGGACAAUGGGCGAAAGCCUGAUCCAGCAAUGCCGCGUGUGUGAAGAAGGCCUUCGGGUUGUAAAGCACUUUUGUCCGGAAAGAAAUGGCUCUGGUUAAUACCUGGGGUCGAUGACGGUACCGGAAGAAUAAGGACCGGCUAACUACGUGCCAGCAGCCGCGGUAAUACGUAGGGUCCAAGCGUUAAUCGGAAUUACUGGGCGUAAAGCGUGCGCAGGCGGUUGUGCAAGACCGAUGUGAAAUCCCCGAGCUUAACUUGGGAAUUGCAUUGGUGACUGCACGGCUAGAGUGUGUCAGAGGGGGGUAGAAUUCCACGUGUAGCAGUGAAAUGCGUGGAGAUGUGGAGGAAUACCGAUGGCGAAGGCAGCCCCCUGGGAUAACACUGACGCUCAUGCACGAAAGCGUGGGGAGCAAACAGGAUUAGAUACCCUGGUAGUCCACGCCCUAAACGAUGUCAACUAGUUGUUGGGGAUUCAUUUCCUUAGUAACGUAGCUAACGCGUGAAGUUGACCGCCUGGGGAGUACGGUCGCAAGAUUAAAACUCAAAGGAAUUGACGGGGUCAUAGCUGUUUCCU
RNAcentral lists this ribosomal RNA (585 nucleotides) under uncultured bacterium. RNAcentral's name for it is "partial 16S ribosomal RNA". It matches the Rfam family "Bacterial small subunit ribosomal RNA", at positions 355 to 1375 of the family's 1533-position model. The record is from RNAcentral.